UUUUUGAUCAUGGCUCAGAUUGAACGCUGGCGGCAGGCCUAACACAUGCAAGUCGAGCGGAUGACGAGAGCUUGCUCUCUGAUUCAGCGGCGGACGGGUGAGUAAUGCCUAGGAAUCUGCCUGGUAGUGGGGGACAACGUUUCGAAAGGAACGCUAAUACCGCAUACGUCCUACGGGAGAAAGCAGGGGACCUUCGGGCCUUGCGCUAUCAGAUGAGCCUAGGUCGGAUUAGCUAGUUGGUGAGGUAAUGGCUCACCAAGGCGACGAUCCGUAACUGGUCUGAGAGGAUGAUCAGUCACACUGGAACUGAGGCACGGUCCAGACUCCUACGGGAGGCAGCAGUGGGGAAUAUUGGACAAUGGGCGAAAGCCUGAUCCAGCCAUGCCGCGUGUGUGAAGAAGGUCUUCGGAUUGUAAAGCACUUUAAGUUGGGAGGAAGGGCAUUAACCUAAUACGUUAGUGUUUUGACGUUACCGACAGAAUAAGCACCGGCUAACUCUGUGCCAGCAGCCGCGGUAAUACAGAGGGUGCGAGCGUUAAUCGGAAUUACUGGGCGUAAAGCGCGCGUAGGUGGUUUGUUAAGUUGGAUGUGAAAGCCCCGGGCUCAACCUGGGAACUGCAUUCAAAACUGACAAGCUAGAGUAUGGUAGAGGGUGGUGGAAUUUCCUGUGUAGCGGUG
This 678-nucleotide ribosomal RNA is filed under the name Pseudomonas sp. Its description in RNAcentral is "bacterial SSU rRNA". It matches the Rfam family "Bacterial small subunit ribosomal RNA", at positions 12 to 683 of the family's 1533-position model. The record is from RNAcentral. Lineage: Bacteria; Pseudomonadati; Pseudomonadota; Gammaproteobacteria; Pseudomonadales; Pseudomonadaceae.